UCCGGCAGCGCGUGCGCCCUGGUCCUGCUGGGGUUUGGUCCCGGAUGCACCGCCUCCACGUGACGCAGGAUUGCCGCUUGGCCCGUUUGAUCUGAUGACUUGUGCGUCUGCUCGAACUCACGGUGGGGGCUGGAGAGGCGGGCUGCGCGGUACCCUGUGCUUAGGCACCCAGUGUCUGUUAGGCCAAAUAGCACUCCAGGAGUUGUUUUCUUUCCAAAAGUGUAACUCUCUCUUGUAGAAGCCAUGGCCUUGCUCCAGGAGCCCAGGGGCCCGUGUCGUGACUGCCCCAGGGCUGCUUGCCACAAAAUCCAGUGCCAGUGUUUCCCGCCAUGCAUAUCUCCACCCUGAGAAUCCGCUGGAUUCUACGGGCUGAGGUGCAUGGCUCUUUGCCACGCGGCCGGGACACGCAGGCUUUUGCUGAGUGCAGGCUGCAGGCUGGACCGGUAUCCCUCCGUGCGGAGUGCGCUGCCUCUAGAACCAGAACCCGUUAGGCACUCUGCUUCCUUCUUCAGAGUAGGGGGUGCGCAUUGAAACAGUCUGUCUUUCAGCUUGGAGGGAUGGCCCGGAAUGCCCCUGCCGGCUCCACCCUUGAAAAGAUAAGGGUCCGGCAGCCCCCGAGUCGUCACGUUUCCUCCUGUUUUCUGGAGUGUAGUAGGGUACCAAGGCCUUUAGUGGUCUGAUCCUUCUUGCUUAGAUCCCAUUGAUGAAAGUGAUCACUGUGAUUUUUUUAAGGGACAAGGAAGUCUAGACUCUUCAGUGAUAGAAGGACAGAGGGCAGGAGAGUCAGCAUAGCCCUGGAGAAACUGGAGACCUAGCUGUUGUUGAUCCCACGUGGGCGUGCCCUAUUUUUGGUCCCCCAUUUUGCCGGGGGUAGGAAAGAACACACUUGUCAAUCAGUGGCUGUAUACCAUGCCCUUGAGGCCACGUAAAUUUGCUUUAGCAAAGGCACCUGCGGGCACAGUCAUGUGAUCGGGCUCUUCCUUCCGGGAGCCUUCAGGAUCAUGCAUGGGCCAGACUGGGGAAUUACCCCGAGACGGGAUGUGGACCGCACCUGCCUUCUUUAUCUCCUUAAAGGUGGCACUAAUCUCUGUCAUCCCCUUUCCUGGGGUGUGACAUUGUUUCUGCUUUAUCUUGUUGGCCAAGGAGGGGUUUGUUUCAAAGGCUUCUCUUUGAGCUGCCUCAGUCUGACGGUUCUUACCCCACACACCAAGAACCCAGUGGGGGAAAUGCGUCCAUUGCUAACUAUGCCAAUUCCAUCUAUGCAUUUGGGGAUCAAAGAAAUCACCUGUAGGUGGGUCUGUGGACUCCAUGUCUUCACGGUAAGUUGGGCCUUGGACAGGACUCCAUCGCCACCUGGCCUCCACAGGCCCCCCACUGUCAUAGGCGCCACGAUGACACCUCAUAUCUCUGGUGGCUACUCACUUGGGGGUCCUGCACGAGUCCUCCAAAUGUCUGUCGGGUCCCCUUUCCCCCACUGCAAUGUUAGCUGAGAAAGUGGCUGUAGGUGCCUUCAGUGGAAGAACGGGGGGAAAGAUUACUUACUGACGUACUUACUAUUAUGUUGUGGGGUUCUCCUUCCUUGGGACCCAGCCACCUCUUCAGGCAACGAAUUCUGCGUGUAAAGAUCGACUCAGAAAUGGAAAUCGGGCAAGGGAUGGUGACUUUGUCUUGCCGGGACCUCCCUCAGCCCGUGGCCCACCUGUACUUGAUUUCUUCUGUUGGCACAAGCUGGGAAGUGUCCUCGUCCUGUCUGCUCUGGGCGCUGGGUCAUAACUGUCUUCGGGCCCAGCUUCUGUGGCUGCUCUCCAACUUGGCCCGCCAUUGUGAUGGCUCCUGGUUCCAGCCCCUUUUCUGUGCAACCUUGUGCAAGCCCAGGACCCUCCUUCUCUGAAUCUCUGCAGCCUCAAAUGCAAACCGGGGCUAAUAAUGUCCCUCCUGCUAAGAAAAUGCAUGAAAAGUGUCAACAUAAUUCCCAGCCCACGGUCGGUGCCGGAGCUGCGAACUUCCCCCUUGAAGGAGAAAAAGGACGCAGUUCUUUGUGUGGGAAAGCGGUGUGCAUGGGAAGUGGGUGACUUCUCACUUUACUCUGAGGCUCGAAGAGGCUGCACAGUGCAAGGCCCCUGCUUUUGCGGGGAACAGGGGCAGAUGGGAGCCAGCCAUGCAACUGAAGCCCCAUUACAGGGCCUCACUGCUCUGGGUUAAGCACUGCCCUCUCUAAGGCUUUAAAAUGGACCCUCCACCCUCAUCGGGCCUGGGUGACAUACUCAGAGAAGCAGCGAACGGCCCCGGGGCAGGCAGGCAGCCAGUGGAUGCGGUCCUAGCUUGGGGACUGGCUCACCCAGCGGCCACAGGCAAGUUCCUUCUUAUCCAGGACCUCACUUCCUCAUUUUCUCUGACUUGGGAUCCUGGGGGCACAGGAGAGAGGUUUGGAAGCCGUGGACUAGGCCCUUAACCUUUCCAAACUUUGAUUUCCUUGGCUGGAAAAUGGGGAUAUGAAACUACCUGUCUUCUAGGCUGUUGGUGCCAAUUAGAUGAGACGGUGCACCUGCCCGGCACGCAGGAAGGUCUCCGGAAAUGUUGGCUCGUAUAAUCAUGACUUUUGUUAUAAUUGCACGUGUCACUUUUGCCAAAGUUAGGCCGGCAUCGGCGGGGACGUGCGACGCGCGACUGUCCCGGCCUCCUCGGGGCAAGCAGACUGGUGCGGCCCCUCCGCCGGAGAGGCCUGCUGCGUGACCCGUGCCCCCGUUGCGUGCGGUGAUCCGCUCCUGGAAACAUCCCGGUGGCGCUCUGAGCCAGCCUGUGCGGGGCACGUACCCGACGUCCACCUCAGAGGCGUCGGCGGGGGCAAGAGCGGGUGCGUAAGAGGUGGGGAUGCGCCCCAUGGAGACCGAGCCUGGAACCAAACAGACACAGCAACACAGAUGGAUGUUGCAAACACCGAGCCGGAUGGAAAAAGUAAGGGAAGCAUCUCACUGUACGGGGACAAUGGGUAUUUACAGCAGCCCCGAAAAGGCUGCGCGAGCCUCCGAGGCCUUUGGCCCCUGCUAAGGGCAAGUCGGCGGCGUGGAGAACCCUUUCAGCAGCGAGACAUUUAUCGUGUUAGCGUGCUUGGAAAACAGCAAAUCCCCAUUACCUAAGCAGCCACGUUACUGAGCCCAGCACCCGCCCCCCUCCGUCUGGAAAAUCCCAAGGAUUCUUUGGAACUCCACUGACGGCUGCCUCCUGCCUCCAACUCCUCCAGGCCUGUUUCUGAGCUCCUGCGGCCUGCAAGAAAAGUGCCCAAGGGCAUCAUCAGGAUGCUGAGGUCCCUGCACUGGCUCAGGUCUCCAGGCCAUCACCUUAUGUCUCCCGCCUCCCUCCCCCCCACCCCCCCAUAGGUCCCAAGGCCGUGGUUUCCUACAGUGGGGCUCAGGCAGGCCCUCCCAGCCGUCCUCUGCCCUCGGGUCUUUGCUCUGGAUGUUCCGGGUUGCCUUCUGCAUCCACUCAGACACUUCCCCUUGGGUGGAACUGGCCGGUGCGGUCAGGGGCCGCAUUCACCUGUCCCCCCCCAGCUUGGCGUGGGCCGGUGCAGACCCAUCACCAUCUGGAUGCAAGAUGACUUCCCGGAGGAUGGGGAAACCUUUCCCUUCUAAACUUGUUCCAGGGACGCCUGCAGCUGAAGAGGAGGAGUCCACGUGGGUCCCUUCAGGGCCAGGGAUGGCCUAGACACAGAGGGCAGAGAAGCUUUGGUGACACCCGCAUAGGGUGGGGUGGGGAAUCUGUGCCUUGAGCAGAGCCUGCCCUGUCCAAGGCAGAGCCUGAGACAGAGCUUGGGUGCAGGGCUUUAUUUGGGAAGUGGCCUAGGGGUGGGAGUGGGGCUGAGGGUGAUACAGGAGGGCAGGGAGUCCCCACCUUAGGUGCCGGCUGCCCAGGCCCACGAGGUGCUCCAGGAAGCAGUGAUGAUAUCUUAGGAUCAUGUGCCCCCAAACAAGGGGGAGCAAGUUCUUGGCUCUGUGCUGCAGUCCAGAGGUGACCCACAGGGUGACACUUUGGGUUGACACAUGUGAUGUAGAAUGGGUUUCCCAGGAGAAAGCCCAGGGUGGGAGGAGGAAGAGAGACUGGGCGGUGGGGGGUGCUCCAGGAAUGAGGCACGGUCAGGCAGCCCCAGUGCAGGUGAACCAAGGCUGCGUGGGGCUGGUGACCACAGCUGUGGCUGGAAUAAGAGGUGACCUAAGAGGCUCUCAGAUGUUGCACAAGAUGUGUCCCAUACUGGGGCCCUGUGCUGCUUUAUUUACUAAGAAACAAGAAACGGGCAUCUGGGUGGCUCAGCUCGUUAAGGGUCUGACUCUCGGUUUCAGCUCACAUCAUGAUGUCACGGUUCGUGAGAUCGAGCCCUGAGCUGGACUGUGUGCUGACAGCGCGGAACCUG
Molecule: long non-coding RNA, 4408 nt
Organism: Felis catus (domestic cat)
Lineage: Eukaryota; Metazoa; Chordata; Mammalia; Carnivora; Felidae
Exons: 3
Source: RefSeq, a predicted model, not a curated record